GACCCUGUAGCGCAAUGGAAAGCGCGUUGGAUUUCUAGUCCAAAAGUCGUGGGCUCGAAUCCCACCUGAGAUGGCCU
Trichonephila clavipes is the source of this 77-nucleotide non-coding RNA. Lineage: Eukaryota; Metazoa; Arthropoda; Arachnida; Araneae; Nephilidae. The record is from the annotation of a GenBank genome assembly.